GGAGGAGUUACGCAGGCAGGGUUGUGGUUGCUGGCUGUUACCAGGACAACCGGAGGCGAUUGACCGUUAUCUGCGGUUUGGAGCCGUUAGCGGGAGAGGCAGAGAUAUUCAGAGGUCUUUUAGGAUGCGCUAAAGGGUCGUGAGGGCUCUCUUAAAAUUUUCUUCACAAGCGGUUAUCCAGUCGUGCCCCGCGGCCCUGCUGCUGGCCCCGGGGAUCUGAGUCGUACCCUCUUGUUUUUCUCUGAGUCAGUCUUAAGGUGAAAUGAAGUGUGGCCCAGUGGCUCCUCACUGUCGCUUCUCUAGUUUUCUGCCUCCUUUUAGAAAAUUGAAUUGAAAAGACAGGAUGAAGUGGACACAGCAUGUGAAGACAAUUCUUUCAAGAAGUUUGGCUGUCAAGGAAAACAGAGAAUGUGCUAAAGAACAUACAGACACAGAGCAGACAGGCCACCUUUGCAACCACAUGGAGGUUUGUCUGAUAUUGAAGCUAAAGAAGCUAAGCUGGAAGACAGAGAGACCAAGUCCUGAUGACAUUGUUUGAACCCAGAGAUCCAGACAUGCCUGAAAACUAGUUUUACCACUGGACUUAUCCGUUGAAUGAGCCAAUAAACUCUCUUUUAUACUUAACCUUGGGUUUUACCUGGAUUUUUGUCAUUGACAGCUCAAAAUAUUCUAAUAUAGAAGUAUACAUCAUUAAAUCAA
RNAcentral lists this long non-coding RNA (699 nucleotides) under Homo sapiens (human). Its description in RNAcentral is "non-protein coding lnc-CTDSP2-2:11". The record is from RNAcentral. Lineage: Eukaryota; Metazoa; Chordata; Mammalia; Primates; Hominidae.